This is a long non-coding RNA of Panicum virgatum (switchgrass), 1979 nucleotides long. RefSeq lists it as uncharacterized. The record is from RefSeq and is a predicted model, not a curated record. The transcript has 4 exons. Lineage: Eukaryota; Viridiplantae; Streptophyta; Magnoliopsida; Poales; Poaceae.
UUGGCUGUUGAGCUCUUAGUGAUUUCUCCGCUGCCUCCGCUUGCAAAUCUACAUCCUUCCGCACUUCCUCUCUUGCUCCCCUUAUUCAUCCCGAGCCCUCAAGCUAAGAUCCUACUCGUUGUAUCGGAGAUGGGUGGGAAGAAGGAUGCGCCAAAGGGGAAGGCCAAGGAAUCUUCUCCCUAUGCUGGGGAAUGGAAGAAAAGUAAGUGCACUGAGUCCACCUUCAACUCAUGGAGGAGGGUCUGCUUCAACCUCAAGAAGUAGUUCAAUCAAGGUUCCCCAUUUCUGGUCUGAUUCCUUUCAAAAAUGUUGAUGAACUUGUCUUGUUUCAACAUUUCAUUGAACGCGGCCUUGCUCUUCCAACCUCUGACUUCCUUCGAGGUUUGCUUUCUUUCUUUCUAUGGGAUUUAGAUCCAUCAUCUGAAUUCCAAUCUAUUCUUCAUCUUUCAAAUUUUGUCCAUUUCUGUGAGGCAUUUCUUGAAAUCCAGCCUUACUGGAAUUUGUUCCACUAUCUCUUCCACCUCAAGCCCCAGCCCAAGAGCAACAAUCCCCAUCAGAUUGGCGGGUGUGGUUUUCAGCUGAACCUGGGGUGGGGGUCCAUGUACAUAGAUUACAGCACUCUGAAUAGUUUGUAUGGAUGGAAGAACUACUGGUUCUAUAUAAGGAACCACGCACCUCCACUCCCUAGGCGAAUGAAUGAAGCCCCCAUGCCGAAGGACUAUUGGAAGUCCGAGGUCAAGGAGGAGGAGAUGCCUCAUGUAUGGGUUCUUUUGGAGAAGAUCUGUGAGAUGAAGAAGGCUGGGGUCAGUGGCGCCACUGUUAUGCUCUCAUGGUUGCAGAGGCACAUCCAAACUCUGUAGCAGAGGACGCAUUUCGGGUUCCAGUAUAUUGGUGCCACUGACUCCUCGCGCAUUACCCUAGGGGGUUUGGAUGGUGGCUGUCCUUGAAGAUGUUGAAGUGAGCACUUCUCGGCGUUCGUACUUUGUCUGUCGUUCCCGAGUUGUCUACCGCCGAGAGGCCUCUGACUCCGGAACAAGUCACUUUAUAUGAGAGUCACCCCCUCAUGUCGAGUCCACCCAUGCAUGAGCUGGGAAAGAGGUCGGCUAAAAAAGCUGAGAAGCCCCAUGGUGAGAAGGUGCCAUCUCCUCCUCCUAAGAAGAGGAGGACAUCCAGUCGUCUCGCCACCGGUGAGGACCAGAAGAGGUCGGAAGAGUAAAUUCCUUUCCUAGUAGCAUGGUUUUGAUGACAACCUUCACUCCUGAUGUUUUUAUUUUUUUUAGCGAUGGGGAUGACGACGCUGCUAUUAAGGCGGCUGCGAUCCCCAAGCUCCCAAAGGCUGUCCCGAUGUCGGCCGUGAAGCGGUUUUCACUUGUUGCCACUUCAACAAGGUAAUGAUUGCUGCAGCUCGGAAGGGGUGGACCACUGCCCCAUCUUCUGGAUCUGCCCUCCCUGACGCUAUUCUCUUCCAUGAUGAGGAGGAGCGGGCUUACCAGUGCGGGUCUCCGCCUAGUGGCGUUGACCCUGACUUGGUCAGCAAGCCACUGGUAUCAGAGGUGGAGGUGCCGAAAAUGAAAGAACUCUUCCGAUGCGCAUAUGCUUUUUCCAAUGUGAGUGGGUUCUUGACGGAGGUAGAUCUAUGUACCUCCCUGCCGCGUCCGGGUGGCUACUCGGCAUUAACUACCAGGUAUGCAAGAACUCGGCUGCAUAAUGGAAGGGUCCUCUGCAGAUCAGGAUGAAGGCUCCAACAAGACGCCCGGAUUUUUAGGGAUCUUACCCGACCUUCUUCCUUGUAACAACCCGAGUAAAUCCCGAUAUACUUGUACUCCACGAAUCCUGGUCUAUAUAAGGGAGACGUGGGUAGACCCAUAGGCAGAUCAUCCAAACCAUACGCUUCCUCCCCCACAUUCAUUGUAACUCCAUAAGAAACCCUAAUUCCACAUUGAACAUAGGACAUAGGGUAUACGCUCAUCGCAGCCCGA